AAGUCGUAACAAGGUUUCCGUAGGUGAACCUGCGGAAGGAUCAUUAUUGAAUAAACCUGGCUUGGUUGUUGCUGGUCUUUUGGGAGACAUGUGCACGCCUUGUCAUCUUUAUAUUUCCACCUGUGCACCCUGUUGUAGACUUGAAAACAGUUUUCCGAGGUAACUCGGUCGUAAGGAAUUGCUUUUAAAUUGGCUUUCCUUGAAUGUAUUCAAGCCUAUGUUUUCAUAUACACCAUAAGAAUGUAACAGAAUGUCAUUAUUAGACUUGAAUGUCUUAUAAACUUUAUACAACUUUCAGCAACGGAUCUCUUGGCUCUC
This 318-nucleotide unclassified non-coding RNA is filed under the name Stropharia rugosoannulata. RNAcentral describes it as "partial internal transcribed spacer region". The stretch from base 1 to 46 matches the Rfam family "Eukaryotic small subunit ribosomal RNA", at positions 1786 to 1831 of the family's 1831-position model. The record is from RNAcentral. Lineage: Eukaryota; Fungi; Basidiomycota; Agaricomycetes; Agaricales; Strophariaceae.